GGUAACACUAACUGGAGGACCGAACCGACUAAUGUUGAAAAAUUAGCGGAUGACUUGUGGCUGGGGGUGAAAGGCCAAUCAAACCGGGAGAUAGCUGGUUCUCCCCGAAAGCUAUUUAGGUAGCGCCUCGUGAAUUCAUCUCCGGGGGUAGAGCACUGUUUCGGCAAGGGGGUCAUCCCGACUUACCAACCCGAUGCAAACUGCGAAUACCGGAGAAUGUUAUCACGGGAGACACACGGCGGGUGCUAACGUCCGUCGUGAAGAGGGAAACAACCCAGACCGCCAGCUAAGGUCCCAAAGUCAUGGUUAAGUGGGAAACGAUGUGGGAAGGCCCAGACAGCCAGGAUGUUGGCUUAGAAGCAGCCAUCAUUUAAAGAAAGCGUAAUAGCUCACUGGUCGAGUCGGCCUGCGCGGAAGAUGUAACGGGGCUAAACCAUGCACCGAAGCUGCGGCAGCGACACUAUGUGUUGUUGGGUAGGGGAGCG
This 485-nucleotide ribosomal RNA is filed under the name Escherichia coli. Its description in RNAcentral is "partial 23S ribosomal RNA". It matches the Rfam family "Bacterial large subunit ribosomal RNA", at positions 755 to 1238 of the family's 2925-position model. The record is from RNAcentral. Lineage: Bacteria; Pseudomonadati; Pseudomonadota; Gammaproteobacteria; Enterobacterales; Enterobacteriaceae.